RNAcentral lists this transfer RNA (74 nucleotides) under Sphenostylis stenocarpa. RNAcentral's name for it is "tRNA gene-AYBTSS11_LOCUS6203". It matches the Rfam family "tRNA". From Rfam's summary of the family: Transfer RNA (tRNA) molecules are approximately 80 nucleotides in length. Their secondary structure includes four short double-helical elements and three loops (D, anti-codon, and T loops). Further hydrogen bonds mediate the characteristic L-shaped molecular structure. tRNAs have two regions of fundamental functional importance: the anti-codon, which is responsible for specific mRNA codon recognition, and the 3' end, to which the tRNAs corresponding amino acid is attached (by aminoacyl-tRNA synthetases). tRNAs cope with the degeneracy of the genetic code in two manners: having more than one tRNA (with a specific anti-codon) for a particular amino acid; and 'wobble' base-pairing, i.e. permitting non-standard base-pairing at the 3rd anti-codon position. The record is from RNAcentral. Lineage: Eukaryota; Viridiplantae; Streptophyta; Magnoliopsida; Fabales; Fabaceae.
AAGGAUGUAGCGCAGCUUGGUAGCGUGUUUUUUUUGGAUACAAAAUGUCACGGGUUCAAAUCCUGUCAUCCCUA